UACCUGCAGCUCAAGUGGUGAUCGUUAUUAUUGGGCCUAAAACGUCCGUAGCCGGUCUUGUAAAUGCCUGGGUAAAUCGUAUGGCUUAACCAUACGAAUUCUGGGUAGACUGUUAGACUUGAGACCGGGAGAAGCUAGAGGUACUCCUGGGGUAGAGGUGAAAUUCUGUAAUCCUAGGGGGACCACCAGUGGCGAAGGCGUCUAGCUAGAACGGGUCUGACGGUGGAGGGACGAAGCCCGUGGGGCGACGAAACGGGAUUAGAUACCCCGGUAGUCCAGGGUGUAAACGUUGCUUGCUUGAUGUUAGUCGAGCUCCGAGCUCGAUUAGUGUCGGAGAGAAGUUGUUAAGCAAGCUGCCUGGGAAGUACGGCCGCAAGACUAGAAACUUAAAGGAAUUGGGCGGGGGAGCACAGCAACGGGUGGAGCGUGCGGUUU
RNAcentral lists this ribosomal RNA (435 nucleotides) under uncultured archaeon. RNAcentral describes it as "bacterial SSU rRNA". It matches the Rfam family "Archaeal small subunit ribosomal RNA", at positions 474 to 903 of the family's 1478-position model. The record is from RNAcentral.